UUGAACGCUGGCGGCAGGCCUAACACAUGCAAGUCGAACGGUAACAGGAAGCAGCUUGCUGCUUCGCUGACGAGUGGCGGACGGGUGAGUAAUGUCUGGGAAGCUGCCUGAUGGAGGGGGAUAACUACUGGAAACGGUAGCUAAUACCGCAUAAUGUCGCAAGACCAAAGAGGGGGACCUUCGGGCCUCUUGCCAUCGGAUGUGCCCAGAUGGGAUUAGCUUGUUGGUGGGGUAACGGCUCACCAAGGCGACGAUCCCUAGCUGGUCUGAGAGGAUGACCAGCCACACUGGGACUGAGACACGGUCCAGACUCCUACGGGAGGCAGCAGUGGGGAAUAUUGCACAAUGGGCGCAAGCCCGAUGCAGCCAUGCCGCGUGUAUGAAGAAGGCCUUCGGGUUGUAAAGUACUUUCAGCGGGGAGGAAGGGAGUAAAGUUAAUACCUUUGCUCAUUGACGUUACCCGCAGAAGAAGCACCGGCUAACUCCGUG
This 489-nucleotide ribosomal RNA is filed under the name uncultured bacterium. Its description in RNAcentral is "partial 16S ribosomal RNA". It matches the Rfam family "Bacterial small subunit ribosomal RNA", at positions 30 to 507 of the family's 1533-position model. The record is from RNAcentral.